Molecule: ribosomal RNA, 254 nt
Filed under: uncultured bacterium
Lineage: Bacteria
Description: partial 16S ribosomal RNA
Rfam family: Bacterial small subunit ribosomal RNA
Source: RNAcentral
UACAGAGGUCCCGAGCGUUGUUCGGAUUCAUUGGGCGUAAAGGGUGCGUAGGCGGUUUUCUAAGUUUGAUGUGAAAUCCCGGGGCUCAACCCUGGAAUUGCAUUGAAUACUGGGAGACUAGAGUACUGGAGAGGAAACUGGAAUUUACGGUGUAGCAGUGAAAUGCGUAGAGAUCGUAAGGAAGACCAGUGGCGAAGGCGAGUUUCUGGACAGUUACUGACGCUGAGGCACGAAGGCCAGGGGAGCAAACGGGG